UCGCUGUCACAACGGCUUCCUGGCGUGGCGGUAAGAUCCCAAUGGAGCG
Molecule: regulatory RNA element, 49 nt
Organism: Oceanicola granulosus HTCC2516
Lineage: Bacteria; Pseudomonadati; Pseudomonadota; Alphaproteobacteria; Rhodobacterales; Roseobacteraceae
Rfam family: SAM/SAH riboswitch aptamer
Source: Rfam